Macrobrachium nipponense is the source of this 497-nucleotide long non-coding RNA. RefSeq lists it as uncharacterized. Lineage: Eukaryota; Metazoa; Arthropoda; Malacostraca; Decapoda; Palaemonidae. The transcript is spliced from 4 exons. The record is from RefSeq and is a predicted model, not a curated record.
GUUGGCUAUUUUAUCUUUCAGUACAUAGGUUUGGUUGAGAAUCAGAGUGAUUGGUACUUGGGUAAAUUGUGGAAAUCACACCGUCCAUGGCCAGCACUUGGACGAGGGUACAAUACAGGUGUCAUUCUUAUUCGACUGGAUGUCAUGAGGCAGAGGAACUGGUCUCAAAAAUGGAAACUUAUAGCAGAAAGAGACUUAACAACACUUUUCUCCACUCAGCUUGCUGAUCAAGAUAUCAUUAAUGCUGUUAUCAAGCAACAUCCAGAGAUUGUAUAUAAUAUUCCCUGCCAAUGGAAUGUUCAGCUUUCUGAUAACACUCGCUCAGAAACUUUGCUAUCUUGAAGUGAUGGAUUUGAAGGCUAUUCAUUGGAAUUCACCCAAAAAAUUAAAGGUGAAAAACAAACACGUUGAGUUCUUUCGAAAUCUUCAUCUUACAUUUUUAGAAUAUGAUGGGAAUUUACUCAGGAAUGAAUUAUUUGGUUGUCAUCAUUCUAGAU